Molecule: ribosomal RNA, 484 nt
Filed under: uncultured bacterium
Lineage: Bacteria
Description: partial 16S ribosomal RNA
Rfam family: Bacterial small subunit ribosomal RNA
Source: RNAcentral
AUUGAACGCUGGCGGCAGGCCUAACACAUGCAAGUCGAGCGGAUGAAGGGAGCUUGCUCCUGGAUUCAGCGGCGGACGGGUGAGUAAUGCCUAGGAAUCUGCCUGGUAUUUGGGGAUAACGUCCGGACACGGGCGCUAAUACCGCAUACGUCCUGAGGGAGAAAGUGGGGGAUCUUCGGACCUCACGCUAUCAGAUGAGCCUAGGUCGGAUUAGCUAGUUGGUGGGGUAAAGACCUACCAAGGCGACGAUCCGUAACUGGUCUGAGAGGAUGAUCAGUCACACUGGAACUGAGACACGGUCCAGACUCCUACGGGAGGCAGCAGUGGGGAAUAUUGGACAAUGGGCGAAAGCCUGAUCCAGCCAUGCCGCGUGUGUGAAGAAGGUCUUCGGAUUGUAAAGCACUUUAAGUUGGGAGGAAGGGCAGUAAGUUAAUACCUUGCUGUUUUGACGUUACCAACAGAAUAAGCACCGGCUAACUUCGUG